UCUGGCACCUGGAACCAAGGCAGGCCCACAGUGAGAACAAGACUGGCGUCCAGGACUCGAAGCAGAAUGGCGAAGCAAUGAGGUCCUGCUGUACGGCACAGGGAGCGCUAUCCGAUCACUCGCGAUGGACACAGUAACGAGAAAAAGAAUGUCUGUAUAUGUAUGACUGUGCCACUUUGCUGUGCAGCAGAAAUGGACAGAACAUGGUAAAUCAACUACAACAACAAAGAAUCUGCCCAUGAGUCAGCCUCUCACGCUCAGGACCCCUGGAACAAGGCCAGCCUUCCGGCUCACCCAGCGUGUUGGGACACCACCGCCGGGAGCAAGGAAGGUGGCUGUGGACUUUGCAACCCGGUGCUGGGGAGAGAGGAAUUUAAACCACCCACCACCCCAGAGUGGUUUCCAGGAAUGCAGGGUGAUGAAGGGGAACUGAAGGCUAAAGAGCAUCGCCAACAUUAAUCUUCAAGAUUAUGCUGCCAACAUCACAUCACACCUGUCAGAAUGGCCACCAUCCAAAAGAACACAAAUAACAAAUGCUGGCGAGGAUGUGGAGA
Long non-coding RNA from Phacochoerus africanus (Common warthog), 554 nucleotides. RefSeq lists it as uncharacterized. Lineage: Eukaryota; Metazoa; Chordata; Mammalia; Artiodactyla; Suidae. The transcript has 3 exons. The record is from RefSeq and is a predicted model, not a curated record.